RNAcentral lists this ribosomal RNA (253 nucleotides) under uncultured microorganism. RNAcentral's name for it is "partial 16S ribosomal RNA". It matches the Rfam family "Bacterial small subunit ribosomal RNA", at positions 524 to 776 of the family's 1533-position model. The record is from RNAcentral.
UACGUAGGUGGCAAGCGUUAUCCGGAAUUAUUGGGCGUAAAGCGCGCGCAGGUGGUUUCUUAAGUCUGAUGUGAAAGCCCACGGCUCAACCGUGGAGGGUCAUUGGAAACUGGGAGACUUGAGUGCAGAAGAGGAAAGUGGAAUUCCAUGUGUAGCGGUGAAAUGCGUAGAGAUAUGGAGGAACACCGGUGGCGAAAGCGGCUCUCUGGACUGUAACUGACACUGAGGCUCGAAAGCGUGGGUAGCAAACAGG